CGGGAAGAGCUCAAAUUUGAAAUCUGGCGGUCUCAGGCCGUCCGAGUUGUAAUCUAGAGAGGUGUUUUCCGUGCCGGACCGUGUACAAGUCCCUUGGAACAGGGCGUCAUAGAGGGUGAGAAUCCCGUCCAUGACACGGACUACCGGUGCUCUGUGAUACACCUUCAAA
This 169-nucleotide ribosomal RNA is filed under the name Auricularia sp. RNAcentral describes it as "partial large subunit ribosomal RNA". It matches the Rfam family "Eukaryotic large subunit ribosomal RNA", at positions 99 to 261 of the family's 3401-position model. The record is from RNAcentral. Lineage: Eukaryota; Fungi; Basidiomycota; Agaricomycetes; Auriculariales; Auriculariaceae.